This 498-nucleotide ribosomal RNA is filed under the name Candida tropicalis. RNAcentral describes it as "eukaryotic LSU rRNA". The stretch from base 141 to 294 matches the Rfam family "5.8S ribosomal RNA". The record is from RNAcentral. Lineage: Eukaryota; Fungi; Ascomycota; Pichiomycetes; Serinales; Debaryomycetaceae.
ACUGCAUUUGCUUAUUGCACCACAUGUGUUUUUUAUUGAACAAAUUUCUUUGGUGGCGGGAGCAAUCCUACCGCCAGAGGUUAUAACUAAACCAAACUUUUUAUUUACAGUCAAACUUGAUUUAUUAUUACAAUAGUCAAAACUUUCAACAACGGAUCUCUUGGUUCUCGCAUCGAUGAAGAACGCAGCGAAAUGCGAUACGUAAUAUGAAUUGCAGAUAUUCGUGAAUCAUCGAAUCUUUGAACGCACAUUGCGCCCUUUGGUAUUCCAAAGGGCAUGCCUGUUUGAGCGUCAUUUCUCCCUCAAACCCCCGGGUUUGGUGUUGAGCAAUACGCUAGGUUUGUUUGAAAGAAUUUAACGUGGAAACUUAUUUUAAGCGACUUAGGUUUAUCCAAAAACGCUUAUUUUGCUAGUGGCCACCACAAUUUAUUUCAUAACUUUGACCUCAAAUCAGGUAGGACUACCCGCUGAACUUAAGCAUAUCAAUAAGCGGAGGAA